RNAcentral lists this ribosomal RNA (1037 nucleotides) under uncultured bacterium. RNAcentral's name for it is "bacterial SSU rRNA". It matches the Rfam family "Bacterial small subunit ribosomal RNA", at positions 486 to 1533 of the family's 1533-position model. The record is from RNAcentral.
AAUAGCACCGGCUAACUCUGUGCCAGCAGCCGCGGUAAUACAGAGGGUGCAAGCGUAAUCGGAAUACUGGGCGUAAAGCGCGCGUAGGCGGUUGUUAAGUCGGAUGUGAAAUCCCCGGGCUCAACCUGGGCACGGCAUCCGAUACUGGCUGACUAGAGUGUGGGAGAGGAAGGUAGAAUUUCCAGGUGUAGCGGUGAAAUGCGUAGAGAUCUGGAGGAAUACCGAUGGCGAAGGCAGCCUUUCUGGCCUGACACUGACGCUGAGGUGCGAAAGCAUGGGGAGCAAACAGGAUUAGAUACCCUGGUAGUCCAUGCCGUAAACGAUGUCAACUAGCCGUUGGGGACCUUGAGUCUUUAGUGGCGCAGCUAACGCGAUAAGUUGACCGCCUGGGGAGUACGGCCGCAAGGUUAAAACUCAAAUGAAUUGACGGGGGCCCGCACAAGCGGUGGAGUAUGUGGUUUAAUUCGAUGCAACGCGAAGAACCUUACCUGGCCUUGACAUAUCCGGAAUCCUGCAGAGAUGCGGGAGUGCCUUCGGGAAUCGGAAUACAGGUGCUGCAUGGCUGUCGUCAGCUCGUGUCGUGAGAUGUUGGGUUAAGUCCCGCAACGAGCGCAACCCUUGUCCUUAGUUGCCAGCACGUAAUGGUGGGAACUCUAAGGAGACUGCCGGUGACAAACCGGAGGAAGGCGGGGACGACGUCAAGUCAUCAUGGCCCUUACGGCCAGGGCUACACACGUACUACAAUGGUCGGUACAAAGGGUUGCUAGCCUGCGAAGGUACGCUAAUCUCAAAAAAGCCGAUCGUAGUCCAGAUUGGAGUCUGCAACUCGACUCCAUGAAGUCGGAAUCGCUAGUAAUCGCGGAUCAGAAUGCCGCGGUGAAUACGUUCCCGGGCCUUGUACACACCGCCCGUCACACCAUGGGAGUCUAUUGCACCAGAAGUAGCUAGCUUAACCUUCGGGAGGGCGGUUACCACGGUGUGGUCGAUGACUGGGGUGAAGUCGUAACAAGGUAACCGAAUCUCUGAAGAUCCGCGCA